AGCUAAGUUAGAUGUACGGCUUCAUAAAUGUUGAAAAAGACUGCUCAAACCAUGUGCAGAAGCGCAUGGGGACUGCGCUUCGGAACCUCGUGCAGAAGCACAAAGGGGGGAGCAGCGAGCCCAUCAGUGGGAAGGGCUGGCUCACAAGUGGCCUCAUCACAAAAUUGACGAGUUAUUAUGGCUGGGCUUUGAAAUCCCAUUCCGGAAAUGCGGAUGAGAUGCACAAGGCUGUGUGGGCUACGUAUCAUCAUGUGACAUCCACUGACGAGAAAUCAAACCACAGCUUCUGUCCACUCGGCCCCGAGUCUUGGUGCGAGCAUAAUGUAGCCUUGGCAAGGAAUGAGCCCAUCCCAAAAAGCAAGUACAAUUUGCCAGAGGCUGUGAGCAAUGCACUGCUCACUCUUUAUGAACGCUUUUCCGACAAGAAGCUCUUGCAGAGGUGCACCUGAAGGAAAGCGCAGAAUGCGAAUGAGGCCUUGCAUACGGUCAUUUGGAGCCUCUCACCGAAGGGCAAGAACGCCUCAUUGUUUGCCGUUGAGACUGCCAUGGCAGAUGCUGUUAUGCGUUUCAACUUGGGGAACAAGGAAUCUCGUUCGCUUAUUUUGCGUGAACUGCAGCUAGAUCAAACAUGCACAGGUAACCAGCGGGCAUUUGAGAAAGACUAUCACCGUGCCGUCGGCUCGGAGAGGAAACGUGCAUGUUCUACAGCAUUCCAGGCAGCCGCAAAGAAGCACAAGCAAAAGCCUGCUUCAGACUACUUCGCAGGGGCCUUAUGAGUACCAUGUCCCCCUUAAGCGACGGAUGGCUCAGUCGCUUCAAGAAACCCCACGGCCUUGUUUUCAAAGCAAUCUCGAGUGAGAGUGCUGCAGUGAAUAGAGAUAUCUGCACCGACUGGUAACAAGGGCGGCUUCAGGAAAUUUGGGAAAACUAUGAGCUGCGAGAUGUCUUCAACGUCGAUGAGAAGGGCAUUUUUUACAAAAUGUUUCCGUCAAAGACUCGCGCCUUCAAAGGCGAAGCCUGUAGCGGUGGAAAACACAGUAAAGAUUGCAUCACUGUGCUGCUGGGUGCCAACUUGGCAGGUGAUCAGAAGUUGAAGCUUUUAGUUUUAGGAAAGUUGAAGCAUCCACGUUGUUUUAAGGGCGUUCUACACCUUCCCGUUACGUAUAAUACUAACGGAGGAGCCUGGAUGACUAUGGUAAUUUUUUAAUACUGACUACGUGAGGAAGAUGCAAGAUUUACGAUGCAAGGCAGGAAGGUUGUCUUGAUUGUGGAUAAUUGUCCUGCCCAUGGUCAGAUUGAUGAACUCAAAUCCACCUUUCUCGAGUUCUUACCAGCCAAUGUCACUGCAGUGAUCCAGCCAAUGGAUCAAGGGGUAAUACAGAACGUAAAAGUUCAUUACAACAGACAGCUGCUCCACCGAAUGCUGCUUUGUGCUGACAUUGGCAAGUGCUACAAUAUAGAUUAGUUGGCUGCCAUUCACAUUUUGUGUCACGCCUGAGAGCAACGAAAGGCAACAACCAUACAGAGGUGCUUCCACCAUGCGGGCUUUCAAGCUCAAGAACCAGUACCUCAUGAAGAGGAAAGCCCAGCUGAUGCUGACACUGAUGCAGCAUUUAAUCAGGUUGUGCCUUCUGCCCCUUUCACAUGACAGGACUCUCAGACGAUUGAUGAAAGUGUGCAAACUUGUCGCGAAGAGACGCUUGAGGAACUGAUUGCCGAAGUGCAAGCUGACGAUCAACCUUCCUCCAGGGAUGAGUGUGAUGAUGUCAUUGGCAGUGCAGUGGUGCCACAGGACAGUGUAGAGAGGCUUUUGAACUUUUGCUACGGUAUCUUGAGCAUGAUGGUUUGUCCUGAAGUUCUGUCUAGCUUGUCAGGCAUGGGUGCUUACUUUGCGAAGAAGCAGCUCAAGCAUGCCAAGCAAACCACACUUCACUCAUUUUUUUUUCCUAGUCAUCCAGGUAAAUAAGCUAGGGUUGGUGUGAACGAAAUAAAGUUUUUGGUUCAUGA
This is a long non-coding RNA of Rhipicephalus microplus (southern cattle tick), 2007 nucleotides long. NCBI's taxonomy places the organism in Eukaryota, Metazoa, Arthropoda, Arachnida, Ixodida, Ixodidae. The record is from RefSeq and is a predicted model, not a curated record.